This 253-nucleotide ribosomal RNA is filed under the name uncultured bacterium. RNAcentral's name for it is "partial 16S ribosomal RNA". It matches the Rfam family "Bacterial small subunit ribosomal RNA", at positions 524 to 776 of the family's 1533-position model. The record is from RNAcentral.
UACGUAGGGACCAAGCGUUGUUCGGAUUUACUGGGCGUAAAGCGCGUGUAGGCGGCUUUGCACGUCGGAUGUGAAAUCCCACGGCUCAACCGUGGAAGUGCAUUCGAAACUGCAAGGCUAGAGUUCUGGAGAGGAAGGUGGAAUGCUUGGUGUAGAGGUGAAAUUCGUAGAUAUCAAGCGGAACACCGGUGGCGAAGGCGGCCUUCUGGACAGUAACUGACGCUGAGACGCGAAAGCGUGGGGAGCAAACAGG